Falco peregrinus (peregrine falcon) is the source of this 1145-nucleotide long non-coding RNA. RefSeq lists it as uncharacterized. Lineage: Eukaryota; Metazoa; Chordata; Aves; Falconiformes; Falconidae. The record is from RefSeq and is a predicted model, not a curated record. The transcript is spliced from 2 exons.
AGAGAUUUUGAAACACAUAAUCAAGACAACAUUCAAGGAAAUCCUACACUGAGACCUAUGUGGAGACCUUUCAAUUCAUUAAAAGCUAAACUACUACCAAAUUAUUUUUAAAAUAAUGUAUUUUACUUUAAGCAGGUAUCUAAAAAAAAAUCCCUUCAAAUUAUGGAAGCUUUACACUUGAUUCACUUUUUCCUAAAGAAACCCUAACCAAACAUCUGCAAACACAAAUAUACUCAGCCUUUCUCUACUUUGUUUCUAGAAAUAGUUGCAUUUUAUGUUACAGAUAUCUACGAUACAUAGCUGAAAAAAAAAAGACUUUUUCUGCAAUUUCAUGACGUACAACAAUAACCAUGUCAAAUUAACAAACUUUGUAACAGUGAUUACAGUGGGGCUAUUUUUUGUCCUGUAACUGGUCAGUUAAGUCCAUUUACUUUCCAGAAGUUAUAAAAAGGCUAAGAAAUACAUUUAUUUUUUCAACACAUCAUAGUAAAUUCAUCUGAGCUGGAAAAGGUUGAAUGGGCAAGGACUACCAUAUGACCCAGUCAAGCUUUGUAAUUUAGCUGAACAAGUGAGUAUCCAGCAACAUAGGCCUUGACUGCCAACUUAAACUUUUGAGAUAAUAAACAUCUGUAACUCAGCCCUGUUGGUUGACCAAGUUGCAUACAAUAUAAGGUAAUUCAUUCCACCCUAGAUUAUAUGCUAACAAAAAUGUUUCAGGUUGUUUAAUUUUGCAUGACCACUGUUAUUUUUGGCCAUCACCUAGUAUCACUUUCCCAGGUCUUACAAGAGAGCACCAUAUAGUGGGGGCAGAGGAAGAAAAAAAAACAAUCACCUUUUGCUUUGGAAUUUUGUUUCCUGAACAAGGACAUAGUGUAUACUGCUCUAGAAAUACAGAUUCAAAACAUACUCAAAAAUUCAGACUUUUAGAAAUGGCAGAUUUCUCUGUCCAACUCUAACACAAUGCCAUCAUCUUUACAGCAGUUUGCAAACUGCUUUAAGCCAUGCCAAAAAAAACCCUGUCUUGGUGUAUUGACAGACAAUACACUCUUGCUUAGACAAUAUACCAUCUCAUCAUUGGACCAAGACUGGGAGGAUGCCUGGUGGACAUGCAAAAAAAAAGUUCUUUCUGCAAUCCUUGGGCAGCA